AAAGUUGUUGCGGUUAAAAAGCUCGUAGUCGGAGGUGUGUCUCGGACGGUCGGUUCGCCGCUUGUCGGUGCUCAACUGGCCGGUCCGGACGUCCUGCCGGUGGGGCCGCGAGGCUCCGUCAUCCUUCUUUGGUCCUCUUCACCGAGUGCCUUGGUGGGCCGGCACGUUUACUUUGAACAAAUUAGAGUGCUCAAAGCAGGCCGUUGGUCGCCUGAAUACUGUGUGCAUGGAAUAAUGGAAUAGGACCUCGGUUCCAUUUUGUUGGUUUUCAGAACUCGAGGUAAUGAUUAAUAGGGACGGACGGGGGCAUUCGUAUUGCGACGUUAGAGGUGAAAUUCUUGGAUCGUCGCAAGACGAACCGAUGCGAAAGCAUUUGCCAAGAACGUUUUCGUUGAUCAAGAACGAAAGUUAGAGGUUCGAAGGCGAUCAGAUACCGCCCUAGUUCUAACCAUAAACGAUGCCAGCUAGCCAUCCGCCGAAGUUCCUUCUAUGACUCGGCGGGCAGCUUCCGGGAAACCAAAGCUCUUGGGUUCCGGGGGAAGUAUGGUUGCAAAGCUCAAACUUAAAGGAAUUGACGG
RNAcentral lists this ribosomal RNA (578 nucleotides) under Chromagrion conditum. RNAcentral's name for it is "SSU rRNA". It matches the Rfam family "Eukaryotic small subunit ribosomal RNA", at positions 606 to 1159 of the family's 1831-position model. Lineage: Eukaryota; Metazoa; Arthropoda; Insecta; Odonata; Coenagrionidae. The record is from RNAcentral.